AGAUGUCCACAAUCUCCGACGAUGCCUCCAUGUCCACAGCUUUCAAGAUUUCCGGCAUGUUUGCCCUAUGUGUGUGGUGUUUUUUUUUGUUUUUGUUGUACCUCUGAAGCUUUCACUAACCAAUCGCAAGAUUUAUUCACAGGGUGAACAUUUUGGCCUGCAGUCGGACUGCAUCGGCAACUGGCUAAAAUUAACUUUGGCCCAAGACCCAAAAACAAAAUCCAAGAAAAAUCACCAAAAAAAUAUAUAUCUGUAGAAAAUUACACACAGGGAUCGCACGGAAAACUAUCCAUCAAGUAGUGACAUAAGGAAAAAUCACAUACGAGUGUGUACAAUAUGUAUUUAUACUUUAACCGCAUAUGUGGAAAGUAAAGUAAAUAUUUAUAUCGCGUACUGACCGCACAAUGUUGCACUUGUUUUUUUUUUGUGUUAUGCAAAAAUUCUAAACUGGAAUCCGACUUUUGGUUCAACUUCUCACUGGGGGCUCUGCCAUUCAAUUAGUUCAGUGAAAUUCACAUUUAAAUGCAGCCACAAAUAAUUUGAUAAUAUACGACGAUUACGAGCACAAUUGCGAGAGUGUCUGUGGCUGUGUGUUUAGAGCAAAAUACUUUGGAUUUGCCGCUGGAUGGCCUUUCCCAUUUCCCGCUAUUGGUUCACGUCUGUUUGCGUUGAUGGCUGUCCGGUUAAUGUUUUCUUUUACUUUCCAUUUCGUGCUCCAUCGUGGGGGCGUACCACCAGUGACUCUAAGACUGUACAACAAUGUGCCCGAUCGGCUCAUGGAAUUUUCGGUUUAAAUAGUGAGAGAGAGAGAGAGAGAAAAAGUGCCGUUUGGUGGACGAUCAGUACGUUAUCGGUUCGGAUCGGCCGGCUGCUUCGUGAGCUUUGUGGAGAGAGUAAGUAUGUACAUAAAUGAGCAUUUCCAGAGAGCAUUGCAUCCACGAAACUUGCGAUCGUCAGAGAGGGAAAGAAGAGAGUGGGCAUAGAAGAUAAAUAGAGUAACCGAAAGAGCGGUUAGUGCUCAUGGCUAUCCCAAUAUCUUUGGCUGUGUCCCGAAUGCUUUGAUAUUUACUUAUGCAUUUAUUUCGUUAUUAUAAUUUUAAAUUCAAGUGCAUAUAUCAUAAGAAAAUGCCACUCAAAGAACUACUCCACCCUUUUUUUUAUUUUGGGAGUUGCAUAGAACUUGGCAUGGAGUCAGAGAAAGGAGCAAGGCCUCUGCAUAAUCGGAACUGACAUUUGCACUAUGCAAGCUUCCUCUUGCUCGCCUCUAUUCCAUUUCCAAUUCACUCCUAAAUCAAAAAAUAUUCACAGUAAAUUCACAGUUGCAGCUGGCAUGAAAACGACAGACCAUACGGUAAAUGGCAUAUGGCAAGCAAAGAGAGGACACGUAGAGAAAGAGAGCAGCCGGAGCACAUGGAGUGCAGUGCAGCGCAGUGCAGGGAAGACCAAUGGGAAG
This 1453-nucleotide long non-coding RNA is filed under the name Drosophila guanche. Lineage: Eukaryota; Metazoa; Arthropoda; Insecta; Diptera; Drosophilidae. The record is from RNAcentral.